GUGAAGAACGCAGCGAAAUGCGAUAAGUAGUGUGAAUUGCAGAAUUCAGUGAAUCAUCGAAUCUUUGAACGCACAUUGCGCCCCUUGGUAUUCCAUGGGGCAUGCCUGUUCGAGCGUCAUUUGUACCUUCAAGCUCUGCUUGGUGUUGGGUGUUUGUCUCGCCUCUGCGUGUAGACUCGCCUUAAAACAAUUGGCAGCCGGCGUAUUGAUUUCGGAGCGCAGUACAUCUCGCGCUUUGCACUCAUAACGACGACGUCCAAAAGUACAUUUUUACACUCUUGACCUCGGAUCAGGUAGGGAUACCCGCUGAACUUAAGCAUAUCAAUAAGCGGAGGA
RNAcentral lists this unclassified non-coding RNA (336 nucleotides) under soil metagenome. Its description in RNAcentral is "partial contains 5.8S ribosomal RNA, internal transcribed spacer 2, and large subunit ribosomal RNA". The stretch from base 2 to 119 matches the Rfam family "5.8S ribosomal RNA", at positions 37 to 154 of the family's 154-position model. The record is from RNAcentral.